This 1233-nucleotide ribosomal RNA is filed under the name metagenome. RNAcentral describes it as "bacterial LSU rRNA". It matches the Rfam family "Bacterial large subunit ribosomal RNA", at positions 1564 to 2808 of the family's 2925-position model. The record is from RNAcentral.
UGAGUACGAGAUGCUACGGCAUCGAAGCAGUCUAUGUCAUACUUCCAAGAAAAGCUUGCACUGUCAGAAACAGAUAAUGCCUGUACCAUAACCGACACAGGUGGGUAGGUAGAGUAUACUAAGGGGCGCGAGAUAACUCUCUCUAAGGAACUCGGCAAAAUGACUCCGUAACUUCGGGAGAAGGAGUGCCUUAUUUUUAAGGUUGCAAUAACAAGAUCCAAGCAACUGUUUACCAAAAACACAGGUCUCCGCUAAGUCGUAAGACGAUGUAUGGGGGCUGACGCCUGCCCAGUGCCAGGAGGUUAAAGAAGUCGGUUAGCAUUCGCGAAGCUGGUAACUGAAGCCCUGGUGAACGGCGGCCGUAACGAUAACGGUCCUAAGGUAGCGAAAUUCCUUGUCGGGUAAGUUCCGACCCGCACGAAAGGCGUAAUGAUUUGGAUACUGUCUCGGAGAGGGGCUCGGUGAAAUAGACUUGUCUGUGAAGAUGCGGACUACCUGCACCUGGACAGAAAGACCCUAUGAAGCUUUACUGUAACUUGAAAUUGAAAUUGGACUUUAUUUCGCACUAUAGGUGGGAGGCGUUGAAAAUAUUCUUGCGGGAAUAUUGGAGCCAUCAGUGAGAUACCACUCUUGUAAUGUUAGAUUUCUAACUUUAUAUCAUUAUCUGGUUAAAGAACAGUUUCAGGCGGGCAGUUUGACUGGGGCGGUCGCCUCCCAAAUGGUAACGGAGGCGCACAAAGGUUUCCUCUGAACGGGUAGAAAUCGUAUCUAGAGUGUAAAGGCAUAAGGAAGCUUGACUGUGAGACCUACAAGUCGAGCAGGGACGAAAGUAGGUCUUAGUGAUCUGACGGUGCUGAGUGGAAAGGCCGUCACUCAACGGAUAAAAGUUACUCUAGGAUAACAGGCUGAUCUCCCCCAAGAGUUCACAUCGACGGGGAGGUUUGGCACCUCGAUGUCGGCUCAUCGCAUCCUGGGGCGGUAGUACGUCCCAAGGGUUGGGCUGUUCGCCCAUGAAAGCGGUACGCGAGCUGGGUUCAGAACGUCGUGAGACAGUUCGGUCCAUAUCCGGUGUAGGCGUUAGAAUAUUGAGAGGAGCCUUCUUUAGUACGAGAGGACCGAGAAGGACAUACCUCUGGUGUACCAGUUAUCGUGCCAACGGUAAACGCUGGGUAGCUAUGUAUGGAGUGGAUAACCGCUGAAAGCAUCUAAGUGGGAAGCCCACCUCAAGAUAAG